This 279-nucleotide ribosomal RNA is filed under the name uncultured bacterium. RNAcentral describes it as "partial 16S ribosomal RNA". It matches the Rfam family "Bacterial small subunit ribosomal RNA", at positions 506 to 784 of the family's 1533-position model. The record is from RNAcentral.
UGCCAGCCGCCGCGGUAAUACGGAGGGUGCAAGCGUUAAUCGGAAUUACUGGGCGUAAAGCGCGCGUAGGCGGCUUGGUCAGUCGGAUGUGAAAGCCCCGGGCUUAACCUGGGAAUUGCAUUCGAUACUGUUGAGCUAGAGUAUGGUAGAGGGAAGUGGAAUUUCCGGUGUAGCGGUGAAAUGCGUAGAUAUCGGAAGGAACACCAGUGGCGAAGGCGACUUCCUGGGCCAAUACUGACGCUGAGGUGCGAAAGCGUGGGGAGCAAACAGGAUUAGAUA